UUUGUGCAAUUCAUGCCAUCCCUCAAAGCCUGACCGUGCAGAACCCCUGAAGCUCUCCUGGGAGGAACCAUCACCACCUUCAGAAAGGCCACCUUGACUUUGGUCACUUUACAGGGGACAAAAACCAACUCUGUUCUUGGAGCCACGAGGGCCACUCCUUUAAGUGACAAAAGGCGCCCCCUUACAGGAACCCUGAAUUCCACCUCGGAGUAUCAAUACCUCCAUGAACCAGGCUGCAUAUAUUUACAGAGGGAAUCAUAUCACCCAUUUCCCUGGUGGUAAAGAUCAUGACUCACCUUCUUCUCAUUCCCUAAGAAACAAUAUUGAAGUUAGACCAGUUAAUUACUCUGUAAUGGACUGAACAGUUGGAA
Non-coding RNA from Marmota flaviventris (yellow-bellied marmot), 371 nucleotides. The record is from RefSeq and is a predicted model, not a curated record. NCBI's taxonomy places the organism in Eukaryota, Metazoa, Chordata, Mammalia, Rodentia, Sciuridae.